GAAGCUUUUUGUGACGGUACCUAGAUAAGAAGCACCGGCUAACUACGUGCCAGCAGCCGCGGUAAUACGUAGGGUGCGAGCGUUGUCCGGAAUUACUGGGCGUAAAGGGCUCGUAGGUGGUUUGUCGCGUCGUCUGUGAAAUUCUGGGGCUUAACUCCGGGCGUGCAGGCGAUACGGGCAUAACUUGAGUGCUGUAGGGGUAACUGGAAUUCCUGGUGUAGCGGUGAAAUGCGCAGAUAUCAGGAGGAACACCGAUGGCGAAGGCAGGUUACUGGGCAGUAACUGACGCUGAGGAGCGAAAGCAUGGGUAGCGAACAGGAUUAGAUACCCUGGUAGUCCAUGCCGUAAACGGUGGGCGCUAGGUGUGAGUCCCUUCCACGGGGUUCGUGCCGUAGCUAACGCAUUAAGCGCCCCGCCUGGGGAGUACGGCCGCAAGGCUAAAACUCAAAGGAAUUGACGGGGGCCCGCACAAGCGGCGGAGCAUGUGGAUUAAUUCGAUGCAACGCGAAGAACCUUACCUGGGCUUGACAUACACCAGAUCGCUGCAGAGAUGUAGUUUCCCUUUUGUGGUUGGUGUACAGGUGGUGCAUGGUUGUCGUCAGCUCGUGUCGUGAGAUGUUGGGUUAAGUCCCGCAACGAGCGCAACCCUUGUCUUAUGUUGCCAGCAUUUGGUUGGGGACUCAUGAKAGACUGCCGGGGUUAACUCGGAGGAAGGUGGGGAUGACGUCAAAUCAUCAUGCCCCUUAUGUCCAGGGCUUCACACAUGCUACAAUGGUCGGUACAACGCGUUGCGACACUGUGAGGUGGAGCGAAUCGCUGAAAGCCGGCCUUAGUUCGGAUUGGGGUCUGCAACUCGACCCCAUGAAGUCGGAGUCGCUAGUAAUCGCAGAUCAGCAAUGCUGCGGUGAAUACGUUCCCGGGC
Molecule: ribosomal RNA, 922 nt
Filed under: uncultured Corynebacterium sp.
Lineage: Bacteria; Bacillati; Actinomycetota; Actinomycetes; Mycobacteriales; Corynebacteriaceae
Description: bacterial SSU rRNA
Rfam family: Bacterial small subunit ribosomal RNA
Source: RNAcentral